Molecule: ribosomal RNA, 468 nt
Filed under: uncultured bacterium
Lineage: Bacteria
Description: partial 16S ribosomal RNA
Rfam family: Bacterial small subunit ribosomal RNA
Source: RNAcentral
GACGAACGCUGGCGGCGUGCUUAACACAUGCAAGUCGAACGGAAAGGCCCUGCUUUUGUGGGGUGCUCGAGUGGCGAACGGGAGAGUACCACGUGAGUAACCUGCCCUUGACUUUUGGAUAACUUCAGGAAACUGGGGCUAAUACCGGAUAGGAGCUCCUGCUGCAUGGUGGGGGUUGGAAAGUUUCGGCCGUUGGGGAUGGACUCGCGGCUUAUCAGCUUGUUGGUGGGGUAGUGGCUUACCAAGGCUUUGACGGGUAGCCGGCCUGAGAGGGUGAACGGCCACAUUGGGACUGAGGUACGGCCCAGACUCCUCCGGGAGGCAGCAGUGGGGAAUAUUGCACCAUGGGCGGAAGCCUGAUGCAGCAACGCCGCGUGCGGGAUGACGGCCUUCGGGUUGUAAACCGCUUUCGCCUGUGACGAAGCGUGAGUGACGGUAAUGGGUAAAGAAGCACCGGCUAACUACGUG